This is a long non-coding RNA of Solanum pennellii, 5142 nucleotides long. RefSeq lists it as uncharacterized. The transcript is spliced from 6 exons. NCBI's taxonomy places the organism in Eukaryota, Viridiplantae, Streptophyta, Magnoliopsida, Solanales, Solanaceae. The record is from RefSeq and is a predicted model, not a curated record.
UCCCCUAGUAAAGAAAGAAAAGAGUGAUCAACAAAUUAAGAUGAAGUGAGUAGGAGUAUUCUGCUGUAUAAUUUUUCUUCUGCUCUAAAAGUUGUAGCUACAUACCAGGUACAUAUAAGUUCAUGAAGUUUGUUCACCCGAACCUCUCAACAAUAAAUUAUACAAUGUAUUCCGGAAUCAAGUAUGAACUUUCGUCAAAGACUCGAAUAUGUGCUCUUCGGCCAAUUGCAAGAUGCGGUGCUUUUGGAAGGGUUUAUAUGGGGGAUGAAUGUUGAUUACAGAGAGUUACUCACUCGCAUAGUCGGAGGUUAUAAGAAUGUAUACCGUACAAUUAUUAUUAAGGACUAGAAUACUUGCACUGUUGCACAAGAAUGGAAUUAUGCACAGAGAUAUUAGGUAAUUCUUUCAUUCAGUAUUGUUAGUUAUUGGAUAUUAUAACUUGCUUUACUCCAUUCAGGAAUCUCCAUUGCAUACUGAAUCAAUGAGAUGUGUGUUUCAAUUCAUUUAGGGAGUACACUUACCAGUUUACAUUAAAGGCUGCCUUAAACUAUCUUUGAAUUUGGUAUAUGAAAGAAGGUUGUUGAAUUGGUACGGGCAUUUCUGGCUUCGCUGCCUUAUUCAUUUUGUUUUUGCUUCUUGAGAUAUUUAUUGAAAACUGAAUUGCCUAACUGUUUUAGGCUUGCUAUUUAUUAUGACCCUUACAAAGUCAAUGAGGGUACGCCAUAUUGGAUGGCUCCUGAAGUUAUUCUGCAGACUGUCCAUAGCUUGUCAAUUGAAGUACAAUUAUCAACUUAUUUUUUCUUAUCACCUAAAGCCAUGAAAAUUCAUAUAUAUUGACAGUCUAGUGUAAAUGCCCUUGCUAGUAGUGGUUUUUUGUUUGGGGGGUGGGGGAGUGGUUGUACAUCAUAUUACUAAUGGAGGCCUGCUUUUGUGAGUGAAACCCCUGACCCAUAUUUCACAAUUAGGUGGUCUACAUUUCUGUGCUAAUCUUCCACCCUCAUGUUUCAAUACCUGGGACACAUAUGUCACUGAGGUUUUAUGUAAAAUCUUGAACUCCAAAUAUGAUUCCCAUAGGCAUCACAGUUAAUAGUAGAAUUGCAUCAUAUUCAGAGGCAUUGCACUGCUAGUUAUCAACUUUUAGGUUCUAAACCAUCGUCAUAUAAAAGAAUGCAGGCAUAAAUAACUAGUUUAUCAACAAAACUUGUCUGGUCCAAACUCCAAAGUGUUUUGACUGACAAGAAAAUAGAAAGUACAACAUGUUUGAAGUUUCUUGUAUUUUUCUGAAGUUUGAUUAAACUAGGAAGUACUAGGGCAGUCGAGCGUAAGCCUACACUAUUAAACUUCAUUGAUAACCAUAUUUCAAAAGAAUUUUAGAACUUUGAAGGAAAAUUUUGACUAUUCACUUCUUAUUAUUGUUUUAGGUUUUCUUUUCCCAUUCAAAUGAAAAGGUGCAAGGCCAUUUUAUUAGUCUGAAUAAAUAUGAAUGAUUAAGAUUUAUGACAAAAUGAACUCAUAUGUUUUUACUAAGAUUAAUCUAAAUAUUAAUAUGUACAUUAGAAUAUAGAAGUAUAGUUCCUAAUACAUAUCUAAAUAUUUGUAAAUUAGGAUAUAGAAGUAUGAUUCCUAAUACAUAUCUAAAUGUUAAAAUAUGAAUAUUAAAUAAUUUAAAUUGUUUGUCUUCUCAACAUCUGAAUGUAUAGAAGUUGUCUUUUAUUUAAAAUUAUCCCCUCUGUCCCAAUGUGUGGGACACAGUUUGAACUUCGAGAGCCAAAUAUUAUAUGGUAAUGAUAGUAGAUGGUGAUGAUUAUAAAUGGUAGCUAGGGGUGAUGACAGUUGACUGUGGUACAUAUAGUAAAAAAGCUACCACAUCACUGGAAAAGUUGACUAAGGAAGCAAAUAACUCUGAGCAAACAACUAAGGUUCUUGAUUUUGUACCUCUGGAAAUCAUGGUGCCUUUAAGUAAUGAGCAAUUGGUUGGUGAAAAAGAAGCACAUGAGAAUAGCGGUGAAUAGUCAGGCAAAGAAGAAAAAAAUGGUGAGAGUGCAACUGAACAGUCGCAUGAAGAAGAAGAUAAACACAUAACUAUGAUUGAUGAUUUGAAGAAAAACUUGAUCAUAGUACAAGUGAGCAUUCAUCUAAAGGAGAAGAAGAAAGAAAUGACAGCACAUCAGCAAAAAAUAUGGUUGAGGAUUGAACGGCAGCUACAUUAGAAAGAACAGAAAAUAGAUAAAAACAACAUGAUUAAAAGGGAUGCCCGAUGAGCAGCUGUUGCUAGGUCAAAUAAUGAUUUUGGUGGCUAUGAUAAUUUAAAGGUACUGUAUCUCAAAUGAUGACUGUGAUCCUGAGGCUCUUUUGGUUCCAGUAAUGCAUCAAGACUAUUGACAUGAAAAGUAUGGAUUUUAAGACCCACUUGAACGUGUCUAUGCCUUACUAUUCAUGGGUCACUGUGUGUGAGUGUCAACUUUGGAACUCAACUUUUUGAGUUUAAAAAUGUUUUGAUCAGUUAGGGUAUUAAGAAGGAUAUUUAAAAAAACUUGUUUUGGUCUCUUUUUAGCCUUGAACAAAGAUAUGGAGCUACAACCCCCACAGAAGCUGAUGCGUAGCCUUCUUCUUCGCGGAGUCUUUUGUGAAAAGAAAUAGUAGAUUUGGUGUGGUUACAGUGACUUGUGUAUUUGGGAUCAAUAUAUUCAUGAUUGAACUCUUAUGUCAUUCUCUAACCCCUCCCUCCUUUGGUUAGCAAUUAACAAAGUUUGGAAAAAAAUAUAUGCAAAUUAGGUUGAUAUAGUGGAGAAGUCUAUUGAGCUCAUUUUGAAUGGAAAGGAUCCAACUGACAAAAAAGUAAACGAUGGUAGUGACUGGUUUGGUUCUUGCAUAAUAUAUUGUGUGCAAAAGAUACAAAAAAAAGAUAGACACCAACGUGUAAAAGAUGGCUUUGAAUAAAAGUAUAUUCAAUUCAAAUUCACGGGAAUCAAAUAAGUUUCAAUCUUACUAUUGAAUAUCUUUUAAAGAAUUGAAUCCAUCCAAGAUAUAAUAGAAAGGUGAUCUCCUUAUACUCUUGGAUGAAUUCAGUUCUUCUAAAUGAUAUGCAAUAGAAAGAUUGAAGCGCAUUUGACCCCAUGGAUAUGAAACAAAUACAUUUUUAUUCGACACCACUUUUAACCAGUUGAUGAUUAUCUUUUGCACUUAAUAUGCUAUGCAAGAACCAAACCACGCUCACCGUCACCUUUUGUUUUUUCAUCAUCCUUGGAUCCAUCAUCUUUUCAAUGAGUACAAUAGACUUCCCCACUUAUCAACCAAAUUUGCACCCUCUUUUUACAAAAUUUCUGCUAACUGUUGACUAAGGGGUGUAGGGAGGGGAGAGUGACAUUGGCGUCUAGUCAUGACAAUGAAUUCGUUAAUGCCAAAACAAAUAGGCAAACCGUUAUAAUCAUUCUAGAUUUUCUUUUUCUUUUCACAGAAGACUCAGCACAAAAAAAAUGCUAUGCAUCAACUUCAAUUGAAGGAGCUACAUCUUUUUUCAAGUUUAAAGUGACUAAAACAAGUUUUUCGAAAUUUCUUCUCAACAUCCUCACUGAUCAAAACCUCUUUAAACUCAACAAACUGAGUUCUAAGCAGACUCUCGCAGUUACCCUUGAAUCAUAAGGCCCAGGCAUUUUAAGUGGGGUCUUAAACCCAUACUUUUUUAUGUCAAUGUUCUUUACAUAUUACUGGAAGCAAAAGUGACUCGGGAUCACUAUUAUCUUUUGAUGAUAACCCUUAGAAUUCUUUUUGUUCUUCAGCUAUAUGACACAGGCCCAAGUUCUGAUCAUUCAACAAAAUAUGAUAAAAAUCAAAUAAUGCAAAAACCAGAUAUAGCAGCUAAGUACAGGCCAAAACUCAAUUAUAACAAAAAUCAAAUAAUGUGACCAACAAAAGUACGAAAGCAUGGAGCACAAAGGACAAUUUUCAGGACCUCGCAAGCAUUUACUUUUCCUUUUAGUUAAUCCUGACACGAGAACUGCCGAAGCUGGUUUGGAAGAUGUUUGCAAGUUUAGCAGUGAGAGGUUCUCUAGUGUGUAAUCGGAGAACUUUUUAAGAUGUGAUGAAUGUUUGAGUUGAGUCAGUUGACAAGAAGUUGAGCAAACAUUCUUUAUAGUCAAGCUAUCAAGAAGCCUGGUUGUAGCUCCACAUGUCAGACAAAAAGGAUAGAUGCAUUUACUGUUUCAUGUGACUUAUCAGCAGCUGAGGAUGAUGAUUUAACAGUCAUAAGUUAGAGCAUCCCUGGAUGUGAAAAGAUCUAUUGUUUCUCCUAUAAGGGGAAACACUGUUGCCUGUCUAGCGUUUCACAUUGCUGAAGUUCUCUAGGGGUAGACCUGAAGAAGUUACAAGCUGCAUUAUGUGGAGAACUCUACAUUUAUUGAAUGCCUCCACCAAAGCGACUUCCUUGAUGAGAACUGUUUGAUGGAGAAAGAAAUUCCCUUCUUUCAUCAACUGAACAGUAUUGACAAACAUUAUCCUCGUCUUAGCAAGUCCUUAUGAUGGUGACUCCUUUUUAAUCGAGAUAUUCCAUCUACUAAACAAUUUUGGCAGACUGCAUUUUGCUUUCUUGGAGUCACUCUAUUGUUCUCAUUUUCCUCUGAAACUUCUGCAACCAUAUGCUCCCGCACCCUUAUUGUGAAGGCUUACAAUUUUGACGUAUAAAGUUUCUAAGGUUCAAGGUUUCAUACUGCAGAGAUCAUGCGUCAGGCAGUGAGGAUCCAGUUCUAAAUUGAUGCAGAAAUAGAUUCAGGUUUGCAUCUCCGGGGAGAUAAAUGCAUGUUGUACGCACUUGUGUAUUAUUUUUAUUUAGUCUUAUAGAGUGAGUAUAAUGUUCUGAGGUUUCUCAUUUUUCGAUAUGAGAUUAGCCCAAAAUCAUGCAUAUUUGAAAGUUUACCACCCUAGAACCCUGCAAGUUCUUAUCCUUAACCAAGUCUUGUUACAUUGCAUAAACCCCGUUUAGGGACCAACCUCUUCAUUGAGGUUUGCCUCACUAUUACACUGUUGGAGUCCCUUUUUGAUAACAUAUUGUCACAUCCCAAGAAGAUAGUACAUAUUAUUUUCUUUGGCCCCUAUUUGUCUAUGCACUUUGUGUUUUAUAUAAUGUAUUUACUUUUCUCUGUUGAA